Molecule: ribosomal RNA, 588 nt
Filed under: uncultured bacterium
Lineage: Bacteria
Description: partial 16S ribosomal RNA
Rfam family: Bacterial small subunit ribosomal RNA
Source: RNAcentral
UGGGGAAUUUUGGACAAUGGGCGAAAGCCUGAUCCAGCAAUGCCGCGUGUGUGAAGAAGGCCUUCGGGUUGUAAAGCACUUUUGUCCGGAAAGAAAUCCUUGGCUCUAAUACAGUCGGGGGAUGACGGUACCGGAAGAAUAAGCACCGGCUAACUACGUGCCAGCAGCCGCGGUAAUACGUAGGGUGCAAGCGUUAAUCGGAAUUACUGGGCGUAAAGCGUGCGCAGGCGGUUUGCUAAGACCGAUGUGAAAUCCCCGGGCUCAACCUGGGAACUGCAUUGGUGACUGGCAGGCUAGAGUAUGGCAGAGGGGGGUAGAAUUCCACGUGUAGCAGUGAAAUGCGUAGAGAUGUGGAGGAAUACCGAUGGCGAAGGCAGCCCCCUGGGCCAAUACUGACGCUCAUGCACGAAAGCGUGGGGGAGCAAAACAGGAUUAGAUACCCUGGUAGUCCACGCCCUAAAACGAUGUCAACUAGUUGUUGGGGAUUCAUUUCCUUAGUAACGUAGCUAACGCGUGAAGUUGACCGCCUGGGGGAGUACGGUCGCAAGAUUAAAACUCAAAUGAAUUGACGGGGUCAUAGCUGUUUCC